Molecule: long non-coding RNA, 1046 nt
Filed under: Nicotiana tabacum (common tobacco)
Lineage: Eukaryota; Viridiplantae; Streptophyta; Magnoliopsida; Solanales; Solanaceae
Description: long non-coding RNA (NTAB_LNC006990)
Source: RNAcentral
UUCACUUUAUACUUUGGGAGUUCCAACUAUCCUGACUUAAUUCUGUCUCAGUCACCGUAUGAUCGACACGGGUUCGAUCCCAACCUGAUCGAAUAGGCCCAAUCCACGAGGUGCCACUCACUUUAUGGUUCUCAGCGCUCAUAUAUCAUACCUUAGCAUGACUAAGUAAAUUCUCAGCAACGAGACCCUCAGCUUGUGUGCUCUCUACUUUGGCACAAGUAGUUUCAGGAAGUCAACGCCUUGGUCAGGACCCUCGACCUGGACGAUGACCCCUUCUCAGAAUAAGAGAUACUCCCCAAAAAUCUUUUCUUUCUAAAACUUCUUCUUGUGACUUUUGAAGUCUAAAUCUUUUCUUUAUAGAACAUUAUGUGCAUGCUCAUAUUGGUGUCCUUAAAUGUAAAGCAUGGCAUAAGAAUGAAAUAAACAUAUAAAAAUAUUUCUAAAGAUUCUUUCUUCUUCAUAAUUUUCAACAUGAAAAUAGCAUGUAAGAAUAACACAACAAUCUGAAAAUUUUAAGCACAUAUAGCAUAAUAGAUCAUCUAAACUUUUGCUAGAACAAUUCUAAAUUAAUGGGUACUCACUCGUUCUAAUUAAAUAAAGAUAAACUCUUUUAAGCAAUUCAUCAAACACCUUGUAUGCGUGCUUUUGUGAGUUAAACCACUUUAGUAAAGAGUUAUAUUAACUCACCUCAAAACUUCUCGAGCCAAUACGUAGCCCCAGUUCAAUUGACACCAGUCAAACAAUCGAUUCUACAAUAACCAGUACGUUUUAAUUAAUUUUUUUAAGGUACUACACUAAAAUAUGAAAUUUAUUGUUGAUAUAGAGGAAGAAGGGAAUUAACUAUUCUAUUCUUAUCUAUUACUAUUAUAGAGUAAUUGACAAUAGGGGAUUUUAUAUACCUGAGUUCAAGAAUUAGUGAUUUGUAAGAAACCCUAGAUUUUUCCGCUGCCUGUGAAUAAAUGGAGCCUCUGUUUCGUGAGGAACGAUUCUGUUUUUUUUUUAGCUUUUGCUUUCCGUCCUUUUUGAUAACGUUCUGCCUCUCUUUU